Molecule: ribosomal RNA, 728 nt
Filed under: Siminovitchia terrae
Lineage: Bacteria; Bacillati; Bacillota; Bacilli; Caryophanales; Bacillaceae
Description: bacterial LSU rRNA
Rfam family: Bacterial large subunit ribosomal RNA
Source: RNAcentral
AGAUUAAGUUAAUAAGGGCGCACGGUGGAUGCCUUGGCACUAGGAGCCGACGAAGGACGGAACGAACACCGAUAUGCUCCGGGGAGCUGUAAGCAAGCAUAGAUCCGGAGAUUUCCGAAUGGGGGAACCCACUGCCAGUAAUGGGGCAGUAUCCUAUACUGAAUCCAUAGGUAUAGGAAGGCAGACCCGGGGAACUGAAACAUCUUAGUACCCGGAGGAAGAGAAAGAAAAAUCGAUUCCCCAAGUAGCGGCGAGCGAAACGGGAAGAGCCCAAACCAGAAGGCUUGCCUUCUGGGGUUGUAGGACACUCUAUACGGAGUUACAAAGGAAUGUGGUAGAUGAAGCGGUCUGGAAAGGCCCGCCAAAGAAGGUAACAGCCCUGUAAUUGACACUUCAUUCCCUCCAGAGUGGAUCCUGAGUACGGCGGGACACGAGGAAUCCCGUCGGAAUCCGGGAGGACCAUCUCCCAAGGCUAAAUACUCCCUAGUGACCGAUAGUGAACCAGUACCGUGAGGGAAAGGUGAAAAGCACCCCGGGAGGGGAGUGAAAUAGAUCCUGAAACCGUGUGCCUACAAGUAGUCAGAGCACUAUAUGUGUGAUGGCGUGCCUUUUGUAGAAUGAACCGGCGAGUUGCGAUUUCAUGCAAGGUUAAGCUGAAGAGGCGGAGCCGCAGCGAAAGCGAGUCUGAAUAGGGCGAAAGAGUAUGAGGUCGCAGACCCGAAACCAGG